RNAcentral lists this ribosomal RNA (497 nucleotides) under uncultured bacterium. Its description in RNAcentral is "partial 16S ribosomal RNA". It matches the Rfam family "Bacterial small subunit ribosomal RNA", at positions 28 to 507 of the family's 1533-position model. The record is from RNAcentral.
GAUGAACGCUGGCGGCGUGCCUAAUACAUGCAAGUCGAGCGAACAGACGAGGAUCUUGCUCCUGUGACGUUAGCGGCGGACGGGUGAUUAACACGUGGAUAACCUGCCUAUAAGACUGGGAUAACUUCGGGAAACCGGAGCUAAUACCGGAUAAUAUAUUGAACCGCAUGGUUCAAUAGUGAAAGACGGUUUUGCUGUCACUUAUAGAUGGAUCCGCGCCGCAUUAGCUAGUUGGUAAGGUAACGGCUUACCAAGGCGACGAUGCGUAGCCGACCUGAGAGGGCGACCGGCCACACUGGAACUGAGACACGGUCCAGACUCCUACGGGAGGCAGCAGUAGGGAAUCUUCCGCAAUGGGCGCAAGCCUGACGCAGCAACGCCGCGUGCGUGAUGAAGGUCUUCGGAUCGUAAACCUCUGUUAUUCGGGAAGAACACAUGUGUACGUAUCUCUGCACGUCAUGACGGUACCUAAUCAGAAAGCCACGGCUAACUACGUG